RNAcentral lists this ribosomal RNA (524 nucleotides) under uncultured bacterium. RNAcentral describes it as "partial 16S ribosomal RNA". It matches the Rfam family "Bacterial small subunit ribosomal RNA", at positions 28 to 523 of the family's 1533-position model. The record is from RNAcentral.
GACGAACGCUGGCGGCGUGCUUAACACAUGCAAGUCGAACGGACAGACAGAGAGCUUGCUCUCUUGAAGUUAGUGGCGAACGGGUGAGUAACGCGUAAUCAACCUGCCCUUCAGAGGGGGAUAACAACGGGAAACCGUUGCUAAUACCGCGUACGAUUCAUGAACGGCAUCGUUUAUGAAUGAAAGGUGGCCUCUAUGUAUAAGCUAUCGCUGAAGGAGGGGAUUGCGUCUGAUUAGCUAGUUGGAGGGGUAACGGCCCAACAAGGCAAUGAUCAGGAGCCGGUCUGAGAGGAGGCACGGCCACAUUGGGACGGAGACACGGCCCAAACUCCUGCGGGAGGCAGCAGUGGGGAAUCGUCCGCAAUGGACGAAAGUCUGACGGAGCAACGCCGCGUGAGUGAUGAAGGUCUUCGGAUUGUAAAGCUCUGUUAAUCGGGACGAAAGAGUUCUGCGUGAAUAAUGCAGAAAAGUGACGGUACCGGAAUAGAAAGCCACGGCUAACUACGUGCCAGCCGCCGCCGUAA